Molecule: long non-coding RNA, 531 nt
Organism: Drosophila miranda
Lineage: Eukaryota; Metazoa; Arthropoda; Insecta; Diptera; Drosophilidae
Exons: 2
Source: RefSeq, a predicted model, not a curated record
ACCGAGCUUGGGCAUACCCUAAGGUGGCAAAAAUUCCCAUAUAUUUUGGGCAUCACACAUUCAUUGACUUCGAUCUUCCGUCAGAAUUUUGUGUGCCUUUCAGGAAUCCGAAUAGAAAAUUCAGUUUGUUUCACACUUCCGAGGAUACAGUUUCGAACAAAAAUAACAAAAAAAUUCCGGGUUUGCUUUAAAAAUUCGGCAGUUUUUUACUUCAGUUGGACCCAGGGACGCUUUUAUAUCGUAGAUGGCCAUGGCCCUUGGUCCUGUGCCCCCUUCAAUCAUCGUUGGAGGGGAUAGUUCCAACCCUUACUUCAGUUGGACCCAGCGACACUUUUAUUUCGUAGAUGUCCAUCGUCAUCGUCAUCGCCACUUGGUCUUGUGCCGCCUUCAAUCAUCGUUGGAUGGAACAGUGCUGUGCUGUUCUGUCAAAACUCUUUAACAGAUCUUCCUCGUCUGUGAACUACACUCCUAUUAUAUCCGAGAGCCUAAUAUAUAUUUUUAUACCUUCAAUAAAUAUAUUUUGUAAAAAAA